This 98-nucleotide ribosomal RNA is filed under the name uncultured bacterium. Its description in RNAcentral is "partial 16S ribosomal RNA". It matches the Rfam family "Bacterial small subunit ribosomal RNA", at positions 394 to 508 of the family's 1533-position model. The record is from RNAcentral.
CUGCCGCGUGAGUGAUGAAGGACCUUAGGGUUUGUAAAACUCUUUCGGCGGGACGAUAAUGACGGUACCCGCAGAAGAAGCUCCGGCUAACUUCGUGC